AGGAGCUGCUGGGCGAAUAAUUGUGAUUGAAUUACUUAAAGGUUGGUUUGAGGUCCCAGAGUGUCCACUAGAUGGUGAAAGAGCCUUUAGGAAUGCUAGAUGAGAACCGUGAGAAUGAAGGGCAGAAAAGACACUUUCCUCAAAAUCCACAAAACAAAUGUCCUUUAUGGUUCAAGUCAAGGAGAGAGAGCGGUUCUCAGCCCCAUCACCGAUUUGGUGCACUUCUUCAGCUAAACAAUGAAGCUAUGGAUGAAACGUAAGGGCACGGUGUGAAAUUUGUAGUCCCCCCCCCCGUGAACAGCAGCCCUUUAUUCGGCUCUGAGUUCGGUGACACACCAGCACACGUAUUAGCACUAUUU
Carassius carassius (crucian carp) is the source of this 359-nucleotide long non-coding RNA. RefSeq lists it as uncharacterized. The record is from RefSeq and is a predicted model, not a curated record. The transcript has 4 exons. Lineage: Eukaryota; Metazoa; Chordata; Actinopteri; Cypriniformes; Cyprinidae.